RNAcentral lists this ribosomal RNA (253 nucleotides) under uncultured bacterium. RNAcentral's name for it is "partial 16S ribosomal RNA". It matches the Rfam family "Bacterial small subunit ribosomal RNA", at positions 524 to 776 of the family's 1533-position model. The record is from RNAcentral.
GACGAACCGUGCGAACGUUGUUCGGAUUCACUGGGCUUAAAGGGCGCGUAGGCGGCUUGCCAAGUCCGGGGUGAAAUCUUUCGGCUCAACCGGAAAAGUGCCUUGGAUACUGGCAGGCUCGAGGGAGGUAGGGGUUUGUGGAACUUCUGGUGGAGCGGUGAAAUGCGUUGAUAUCAGAAGGAACGCCGGUGGCGAAAGCGACGAACUGGACCUCUUCUGACGCUGAGGCGCGAAAGCUAGGGGAGCAAACGGG